Molecule: ribosomal RNA, 1322 nt
Filed under: Bifidobacterium pseudocatenulatum
Lineage: Bacteria; Bacillati; Actinomycetota; Actinomycetes; Bifidobacteriales; Bifidobacteriaceae
Description: bacterial SSU rRNA
Rfam family: Bacterial small subunit ribosomal RNA
Source: RNAcentral
GAGUAAUGCGUGACCGACCUGCCCCAUACACCGGAAUAGCUCCUGGAAACGGGUGGUAAUGCCGGAUGCUCCGACUCCUCGCAUGGGGUGUCGGGAAAGAUUUCAUCGGUAUGGGAUGGGGUCGCGUCCUAUCAGGUAGUCGGCGGGGUAACGGCCCACCGAGCCUACGACGGGUAGCCGGCCUGAGAGGGCGACCGGCCACAUUGGGACUGAGAUACGGCCCAGACUCCUACGGGAGGCAGCAGUGGGGAAUAUUGCACAAUGGGCGCAAGCCUGAUGCAGCGACGCCGCGUGCGGGAUGACGGCCUUCGGGUUGUAAACCGCUUUUGAUCGGGAGCAAGCCUUCGGGUGAGUGUACCUUUCGAAUAAGCACCGGCUAACUACGUGCCAGCAGCCGCGGUAAUACGUAGGGUGCAAGCGUUAUCCGGAAUUAUUGGGCGUAAAGGGCUCGUAGGCGGUUCGUCGCGUCCGGUGUGAAAGUCCAUCGCUUAACGGUGGAUCUGCGCCGGGUACGGGCGGGCUGGAGUGCGGUAGGGGAGACUGGAAUUCCCGGUGUAACGGUGGAAUGUGUAGAUAUCGGGAAGAACACCAAUGGCGAAGGCAGGUCUCUGGGCCGUUACUGACGCUGAGGAGCGAAAGCGUGGGGAGCGAACAGGAUUAGAUACCCUGGUAGUCCACGCCGUAAACGGUGGAUGCUGGAUGUGGGGCCCGUUCCACGGGUUCCGUGUCGGAGCUAACGCGUUAAGCAUCCCGCCUGGGGAGUACGGCCGCAAGGCUAAAACUCAAAGAAAUUGACGGGGGCCCGCACAAGCGGCGGAGCAUGCGGAUUAAUUCGAUGCAACGCGAAGAACCUUACCUGGGCUUGACAUGUUCCCGACAGCCGUAGAGAUAUGGCCUCCCUUCGGGGCGGGUUCACAGGUGGUGCAUGGUCGUCGUCAGCUCGUGUCGUGAGAUGUUGGGUUAAGUCCCGCAACGAGCGCAACCCUCGCCCUGUGUUGCCAGCACGUCAUGGUGGGAACUCACGGGGGACCGCCGGGGUCAACUCGGAGGAAGGUGGGGAUGACGUCAGAUCAUCAUGCCCCUUACGUCCAGGGCUUCACGCAUGCUACAAUGGCCGGUACAACGGGAUGCGACACGGCGACGUGGAGCGGAUCCCUGAAAACCGGUCUCAGUUCGGAUUGGAGUCUGCAACCCGACUCCAUGAAGGCGGAGUCGCUAGUAAUCGCGGAUCAGCAACGCCGCGGUGAAUGCGUUCCCGGGCCUUGUACACACCGCCCGUCAAGUCAUGAAAGUGGGUAGCACCCGAAGCCGGUGGCCUAACC